Molecule: ribosomal RNA, 253 nt
Filed under: uncultured bacterium
Lineage: Bacteria
Description: partial 16S ribosomal RNA
Rfam family: Bacterial small subunit ribosomal RNA
Source: RNAcentral
UACGUAGGGGGCAAGCGUUGUCCGGAAUCAUUGGGCGUAAAGAGCGUGUAGGCGGCCAGAAAAGUCCGCUGUGAAAACUCGAGGCUCAACCUCGAGACGUCGGUUGAAACCGUAUGGCUAGAGUCCGGAAGAGGAGAGUGGAAUUCCUGGUGUAGCGGUGAAAUGCGCAGAUAUCAGGAAGAACACCAAUGGCGAAAGCAGCUCUCUGGGACGGUACUGACGCUAAGACGCGAAAGCGUGGGGAGCGAACAGG